This 249-nucleotide long non-coding RNA is filed under the name Nannospalax galili (Upper Galilee mountains blind mole rat). RNAcentral describes it as "Prostate androgen-regulated transcript 1 conserved region 2 (ENSNGAG00000003130.1)". It matches the Rfam family "Prostate androgen-regulated transcript 1 conserved region 2". Lineage: Eukaryota; Metazoa; Chordata; Mammalia; Rodentia; Spalacidae. The record is from RNAcentral.
CCAACCGCCGGGCUAUAAUCUAUGAAACUGAGCCCAGAUCAGCCAAUCAGUUAGGUCCUCAUAACAAGUCUAACUGGCUCUGGAAAGCUGAAAGGGCUGCACUGGAGCACCGCAGAUGAAAUAUUCCACACAAGAAUCUGUUUAUCUAGAGUCCCUUUGCCUGGAAAGGGUCAGAGAAAAAUCACAGCUUCAUUGCCUGAGGGAAGGAGGACAGGUGAUCUGGCAGAGAUGAGUCUGAAGCUGGAGCAA